AAAUUAUUGUGCCCAAUAAUAAAGUGAAGUUCUGAAAUUAACCGACUCCUCUAUCCCCUUCUUUCCCUUUCUUUUUGAGACAGACCUCCCAACUCCUCUCCCUUCCCUCCUUUCUCUCCUCCCCAUCUUUACCUCACCUCGUUCGCGCAACAGCGCCGCUGCACACCGGUCAUCAACGAUCGUAAAAUUAUACCUCCAGAAUCCUCUUUCCGUCCUCUUUCCAUCCCCAAGUUAGUUUAUGCAAAUUUGUAGCUGAAUUUUCUGAAUUUCAGAUCUAAGAAAUGGUGACCGCGACUUUCCGGCCAAGAUUGCCGGAAUUGGACCACGACCCAAGAAUUAAAAACGAUCCUCUCCUCUGGGCUGUCCUCCAACGUUCAGUUGGAGAAAUGGCUCCUGCUAUUCCUGGUGUGCCUGAUAGGUUAACAGCACAUAAUCCAUUGAAGGCUCUUGCGGGUGAGAGGGCAUACUCUGAGGAUUUAUGUUGAUGAACUUCUCUAGAUUCACGAAGGAAGAAAAUCAUACCAGACAUGACAAAGUCCAAACCUUUAUGAGGAGAGAUUUUUUUUGCAUUAGUUCCAGCAGGAAGCACCAAAGCGGCCUGUCCUAAAAUGGGAGAACAACGUGGCAUGGCCAGGAAAAGUUGCAUUAACUGAUAAAUCUAUUUAUUUUGAGGAAGAGGAGGAUGAAAAUCCUUAUACGAUUAUGGUUCCUCGAGUCGAUUCAGAUUUGCUUCCUUUUGUUAUUAAGCUGAGACAAGUCCUGUGACCAGGUACUCAUCGGCGACAAGUCCCUUGACCAGGUACUCCUAAUUUCUUCUGCCUUUUCCUAUUUGCUAUUCCUAUUCAAUUGGAGGAGUUAUACUAAUGAAUUGAAUUGAAUUGAAUUGAAUUGAAUUGGGUAGAAACAAACCCAUUAGAUUAAAGAAGUUCAACACUACUCAUUGUUUCUUAUUGUAGAUAGGGUUGUAAAUAGAUUUCCACAUGUAUAUAAGUGGUUUGGCUUAUCAUAUAUAUAUUUAAAACUUUCUACAUGUUUUAUACAGUUUCAAAACCCGCAGCAAUGCGCGGGUACUCUUGCUAGUAUUAACUUAUUCAUCUAAUGAAAGAUUUUCAGUCUCAUUUUGGAGUUUGGUGUUGUGAACCCUUUUGUACAUGCAAGGUUUAUAUAUAUAUAUGUGUGUGUGUAUGUAUGUUUAUAUGCAGGUUUCAAGAAGGUGAAAGUUGCCAGAGACAAGUGUUCCCCAUAUGCUGCCAUGCUUGCAGCAGAUGUUUCACAGAGAUGAAAGUGCUGCCCCUACACGUUGUUAAGGGUUUAAAUGAUAACAAUGAAGUGGCCUCCACACACGUUUUGGAUACUCCCAGUUCCUUCUCACGAAUCACGAUCAUGUGGCUGGUCACUUGGCUGAGGCAAGUUUGGUUAGUAAUGAUACCAUCUCGAGUGCGAGAGGUUUGAAUGAGGCUUCUCCCUCACAUUUUGUGGAGGGUUUAGUUGAUGACAAUGAUACAACCUCGAAACAGGUUUCAGAUUCUCCGAAUGUUUCUCCCAUUAGAGGUAUUCAGGUAAACUCUUCUAUUGUGUUCUCUGGGAGAAAUAGUGCUAAUAAUUCAAUUCAAGCUGGUUUUCCAGUUCAGGUGGCGAGUCAUCCUUUAUCACCUCAAGUUCAUUCUGAAAUCAAAAAUGUUAUUUUUACCAUUUAUUUGUACCAUCACUUAUACUAUCUCUCCAAUAGAGAUAGGAUCCAUAUGAGUUAGCGGACCCUACUUCUAUUAGAGAGAUGGUAUAAGUGAUGGUACAACUAGAUGGUAAGUAUAGCACUACUCUUCUGAAAUACAAAAAGUCAAUGAUUGGUACACUACGGCGGAGGAAGAUGCUUUUUAAGUAAUAUUGAUGAGCGUGGAAACAAUGAUUUAGAGCGAGCAAAUAAUAUUUCUAACCAAGUUGAGGAUGAUAUGACUUUGGUGAUUUCAAAAUCUUAAAAGAGAAAAUUACGGAAUAAUAACGAGAAUCUGUCUGAUUCUCUUAAUUCUGGUUUUAUGAAGAAUUUAGUGGAAGAGCUUUACAUUAUUCGUUCUGUUGGCUUUCAUGGACGUCCUACAAAGGCUCUAAAAGUUAUUGAGGUGUCAGCAUUCAUGGACAUCCUGCAAGGGCUCCAAAAUUAUUGAGGUGUUCACUUUCUCUCAUCAUCUUCGUCUUCUUUGACGACGGUGCCUUGGUGGCUUUUAGUUCGUUAGCAUAAUUGUGGAGUUUUAUUAUCUUCCAUGCAAAUUCAUCUUUCUCUUAAUUUUAAAGAGGGUAAUCAAGUUGCUGACUGUCUGGUCAAUUAUGGUAUUGAUCACCCUAGUGUUCAUGUGUCGGAUUCAUGCCCUCCUUUUUGCAUCUACUUACUCUCAUAAUUUUUCAGCUUCUUUGUUAUAGGUUAUGUUAGAAGUGGUUUUGGGUUGUUGUUCAUGGCUUUUUAAAGGUCAGGGUUAGGCUUCAUGGCCCUCUUGACAUUUGUAAUUUUGUUGUUGUUUUUAAUAAAUUUACCUUAGUCUCUUUUCA
Non-coding RNA from Malus domestica (apple), 2541 nucleotides. The record is from RefSeq and is a predicted model, not a curated record. NCBI's taxonomy places the organism in Eukaryota, Viridiplantae, Streptophyta, Magnoliopsida, Rosales, Rosaceae.